GAACGAAAGAUGAAAAGAACUUUAAAACAGAGGGUGAAAAGUUCCUGAACUUGCUUAGGGUUAAGGCUAUUUAUAGUACCCGUCUUGAAACACGGAUUAGGGAGUUUAUCUGUAGUGCGAGUCUUUGCACGUUAACUGUAAAGGCGUAGAGAAAGCAACUGGCGUUUGCAUGGCUACUGAGCAUUACUGAUAGGACCCGAAAGGUGGUGAACUUUGCCUGCACAGGUUGAAGUCAGGGGAAACUCUGAUGGAGGACCGUACGGGUUAUUGAUGUGCAAAUCAUUUUUCUGAUGUAGGUAAAGGUGCGAAAGACUCAUCGAACCACCUAAUAGCUGGUUUCCUCCGAAGUUUCCCUCAGGAUAGCUGUAAUGCAUUUAGUUAAGGGGAGUAGAGAUAUGGGUAGAGGUGCAGGGAGCCUUCGGGUUCUCAACUUAUUUCCAAACUUCGAACCUCCUUGUUAGGCAUUUACCUAACUGGAAAUGCUUAAAUGAAUUAGCGUUACAAGUGGGCUCUGACCGGUAAGCGGUCAUGGCGAAAUGGGAUGAACCAUACGUCUGAAUAAGGUGCCGAAAUGUACUAUCACUGAUACCAUAAAGGGAGUCCAUGUAUUUAGACAGCAGGUCGGUGCCCCUAAAAGCAGGUAUCCGCUAAAGAGUGUGUUAAAACUCACCUGCCGAAUACUAGGGCCCCGAAAAUGAAUGGCGCAUAUAGUACUACCGAUCUCAGACAUCAGUUCUAUUGAACUGAGAGUAGGGGGAUGUGGACAUUUUUGUGAAGGUGCAAUGUGAGUUGGACUGGAAGAAUGUCUAUUACAGAUCCUAAUUGAAGUAGCGAUUAUCCAGGCUUGUAUCCUGGGGGCUGAUGAGGAGUAGGGUUUCUGGACAACUUAAACAGAUCCAGAGUUAGUCGAUCCUAAUCUCAAUAAUGGGAGAAAGGGAGUACAGUUGAUAUUCUGUAACUGACAACAGUUCGCGGCAACGCAUACUAUUUUCUCCGCCAAUCUUAUACCGUUGGUAG
Molecule: non-coding RNA, 1017 nt
Filed under: Trichomonas vaginalis G3
Lineage: Eukaryota; Parabasalia; Trichomonadida; Trichomonadidae
Description: Eukaryotic large subunit ribosomal RNA
Rfam family: Eukaryotic large subunit ribosomal RNA
Source: Rfam by way of RNAcentral